ACCAGAGGCGAUCAGGUUGGGAGCAGAUAAGAAGUUCCCCGUGCUGUCUGGUCCACCCCAGAUCUCAUCACAGUAUGCUAAUGAGCUGGGGAGCCUUUAAGUGUCAGAGCCCAGCAUGCAGAGCAGUUAGGAGCCCAGACGUCGACACAAAGAAGCCAUAAAACAUGAAGGAAAGUGUCAGCGAGACAUGAAAGAUGCCACACUGCAUGCAAAGAGAUUACAAACACGGCAGGAACUCACUGCUAACUGAAAUGUCUUGUGCCGCGGACAGGAUAUCAUCUUAUACUGUAAGUU
Molecule: long non-coding RNA, 294 nt
Organism: Cottoperca gobio
Lineage: Eukaryota; Metazoa; Chordata; Actinopteri; Perciformes; Bovichtidae
Exons: 2
Source: RefSeq, a predicted model, not a curated record